UAGGGAAUAUUGGACAAUGGGGGCAACCCUGAUCCAGCCAUGCCGCGUGAGUGAUGAAGGCCUUAGGGUUGUAAAGCUCUUUCGCCGGUGAAGAUAAUGACGGUAACCGGAGAAGAAGCCCCGGCUAACUUCGUGCCAGCAGCCGCGGUAAUACGAAGGGGGCUAGCGUUGCUCGGAAUUACUGGGCGUAAAGCGCACGUAGGCGGUUUCUUAAGUCGGGGGUGAAAUCCUGGAGCUCAACUCCAGAACUGCCUUCGAUACUGGGAAACUUGAGUUCGGGAGAGGUGAGUGGAACUGCGAGUGUAGAGGUGAAAUUCGUAGAUAUUCGCAAGAACACCAGUGGCGAAGGCGGCUCACUGGCCCGAUACUGACGCUGAGGUGCGAAAGCGUGGGGAGCAAACA
This 402-nucleotide ribosomal RNA is filed under the name uncultured bacterium. Its description in RNAcentral is "bacterial SSU rRNA". It matches the Rfam family "Bacterial small subunit ribosomal RNA", at positions 355 to 774 of the family's 1533-position model. The record is from RNAcentral.